This 506-nucleotide ribosomal RNA is filed under the name uncultured bacterium. RNAcentral's name for it is "bacterial SSU rRNA". It matches the Rfam family "Bacterial small subunit ribosomal RNA", at positions 19 to 518 of the family's 1533-position model. The record is from RNAcentral.
AUGGCUCAGGAUGAACGCUAGCGGCAGGCUAACACAUGCAAGUCGAGGGGCAGCGGGAUGUAGCAAUACAUUGCCGGCGACCGGCGGAUGGGUGCGUAACGCGUAUGCAACCUACCUUAUACAGGGGAAUAACCUUUCGAAAGGGAGACUAACACCCCAUGGUAUUGACUUAAGGCAUCUUAGAUUAAUUAAAUAUUUAUAGGUAUAAGAUGGGCAUGCGUAUGAUUAGCUAGUUGGUAAGGUAACGGCUUACCAAGGCGACGAUCAUUAGGGGUUCUGAGAGGAAGGUCCCCCACACUGGUACUGAGACACGGACCAGACUCCUACGGGAGGCAGCAGUGAGGAAUAUUGGUCAAUGGGCGCAAGCCUGAACCAGCCAUGCCGCGUGCCAGGAAGACGGCCUUAUGGGUUGUAAACUGCUUUUACAUAAGACUAACCGUAUAUUUGCGAAUAUACCUGAAUGUAUUAUGAGAAUAAGGAUCGGCUAACUCCGUGCCAGCCGCAGC